This 1114-nucleotide long non-coding RNA is filed under the name Numida meleagris (helmeted guineafowl). RNAcentral describes it as "lncRNA (ENSNMEG00000000871.1)". The record is from RNAcentral. Lineage: Eukaryota; Metazoa; Chordata; Aves; Galliformes; Numididae.
GUUUCACACCAUCUGUGGGAUAGUGCAGUGUGAAGGGUGUGAGCAAGACCUUGUGUCCUAGUAAUGCAAUGAGUUUUGUACUGCGAAUACCAAAGAUGGAUGUGCUGUGGGAUGCUAGCAAGAGAUCCAAAUGACAGGCAUUUAAUUCCUCACGAUGCUGCCGAAUGGACCCUCCUGAGGCUAUGGAUGGACCAGCUCUUGAAGGCUGCUGGUGGAAGAUGUGGCAAAUGCAGGAAUAACCGUGUAGCUGUGCAGAGGACCUCAGGCCAUAGGUGUCUUCUCAGCCGUUGAGGCCUACUUAGGUUUGGGGCCAGAGGGCACCAUUUCUUCCGGUUAAGAUGGCUGACACCGUUGAAAUUUUCAAGCACGCAAUAUUCUUGUCUUUAUGCUACUCUAAUUGUAUUAAUAUAUUUGACCAAAAAAGGGAGAGGUGUUUUUUUUUUAAAAGGCACUUCAUUUGUAUUACACGCAUACUCUCAUGUUAUAUGUGAACAGUUCACCCUCCAUCCAAUUCAAACCUGUUUGAGGCCUCCUUAAUUAAACUAAGUCUUAAAAUGGGGCUUUGAGCAAUUGUUUCAUGCUGAAAAAUAUAUACACAAAGAAAGAAAACGUGUCCCAUUAAUCUUGGGAGUGUAGGAUAUAUUAUUACUAUUAAUUCCUGUAAUCAGGAGGAAAACAUAACAAAUUACUCUUAAUAAGCCUUUCAGACAGAAUUUUCUUAUAAUCUACAGGCUCAUUUGUAUCUAUUUAUUUUUUUUACCAAAUGAAAUUAACACUUGCUGCACACUCUAUAUGACCUAUAUUUGUUCAUUGGCAAAUACGACACAGCCUAAAAUCCGGGUAUUUAUUUAUUUUUAAUGGCCAGCACAAGAUAUGGGGAAAAGUACUUGAUUUUUUUUCAGUAUGUGGAAAGACUCCCACUCUUUCUGUACAUUUCCUUCUUACGUUUCUUAAAAGUGGAAGUUGCAUGAUAAAAGGGAACGACCUUUCUUUGCGGAAUCACGUUCUAGGAAAAUGGGGACAUUUCUCUUACCUUUCAACCCUAGCAAAGUGCUUUGUUGUCUCUCUGAUUUCAGUAUUUUGGCUUGCACGAUUUAAUCUCUGCCAAAGCGAC